Molecule: long non-coding RNA, 1536 nt
Organism: Oncorhynchus gorbuscha (pink salmon)
Lineage: Eukaryota; Metazoa; Chordata; Actinopteri; Salmoniformes; Salmonidae
Exons: 2
Source: RefSeq, a predicted model, not a curated record
UGCACUAUAUAGGGAAUAGUAUGCCAUGGGCCCUGGUAUAAAGUAGUGCACUAUAUAGGGAAUAGUGUGCCAUGGGUCCUGGUCAAAAGUAGUGCACUAUAUAGGGAAUAGGGUGCCACUUGGGAUGCAUAAUCCAAUAUGUAGUUACAGCAAUGUUGGUGUCUUGAUAAUAAAUACUGAUAUGACAUCAUAAACCCUGUAAGGAGUCACUCAUAAUCACUCAAUACAAAUUCUAAGUUGAAUAUGUCACUUUUCAUAUCAGUAGAUAUGUGUAACAUAUCAGUAUAGAUAUGCCUGACAUAUCAGUAUAGAUAUGCCUGACAUAUCAGUAUAGAUAUGCGUGAAUUAUCAGUAUUUUUAUGUGUGACAUAUCAGUAUAGAUAUGCCUGACAUAUCAGUAUAGAUAUGCGUGAAUUAUCAGUAUUUUUAUGUGUGACAUAUCAGUAUAGAUAUGGGUGACAUAUCAGUAUAGAUAUGCCUGACAUAUCAGUAUAGAUAUGCCUGACAUAUCAGUAUAGAUAUGCCUGACAUAUCAGUAUAGAUAUGCCUGACAUAUCAGUAUAGAUAUGCCUGACAUAUCAGUAUAGAUAUGCCUGACAUAUCAGUAUAGAUAUGCGUGACAUAUCAGUAUAGAUAUGCCUGACAUAUCAGUAUAGAUAUGCCUGACAUAUCAGUAUAGAUAUGCGUGACAUAUCAGUAUAGAUAUGCCUGACAUAUCAGUAUAGAUAUGCCUGACAUAUCAGUAUAGAUAUGCGUGACAUAUCAGUAUAGAUAUGCCUGACAUAUCAGUAUAGAUAUGCGUGACAUAUCAGUAUAGAUAUGCCUGACAUAUCAGUAUAGAUAUGCCUGACAUAUCAGUAUAGAUAUGCGUGACAUAUCAGUAUAGAUAUGCGUGACAUAUCAGUAUAGAUAUGCGUGACAUAUCAGUAUAGAUAUGCGUGACAUAUCAGUAUAGAUAUGCCUGACAUUUCAAUAUAGAUAUGGGUGACGAAAACUGUGAGUAUGACAUAUUUUCAAAUGUUCUUGUUGCCCCACGGGGAAUGAGUUGGUUAGGUGGGGUCUGCAGGACCACGGGGAAUGAGUUGGUUAGGUGGGGUCUGCAGGACCACGGGGAAUGAGUUGGUUAGGUGGGGUCUGCAGGACCACGGGGAAUGAGUUGGUUAGGUGGGGUCUGCAGGACCACGGGGAAUGAGUUGGUUAGGUGGGGUCUGCAGGACCACGGGGAAUGAGUUGGUUAGGUGGGGUCUGCAGGGGGUGAUUUUUUCUCUUGCUUUUUCUAUGUUGUACAAUAUAUUAUAUUUAUUAUUUAUUAAUAUCUUUAUUGUAUAAUACACUAUAUUGUUUAGGUUGCUUUCCCAAGUGCUAGCACUCUGAUUCCCACACAGGAACCUCUUGCUACGCAGGGGUUUAUGAAUUCCUGUGCAUUCGUUUAAAUAUAAAAUGAUCUAAUGUCUAUAUAGAACUUGAGAAACUGUAAAUUACUGUUUAAUUAUACCAUGUUUAUUCAUUAAAAUAAACAUUUUGAGAGAAAAUCAA